This is a long non-coding RNA of Acipenser ruthenus (sterlet), 491 nucleotides long. RefSeq lists it as uncharacterized. The record is from RefSeq and is a predicted model, not a curated record. NCBI's taxonomy places the organism in Eukaryota, Metazoa, Chordata, Actinopteri, Acipenseriformes, Acipenseridae. The transcript is spliced from 3 exons.
UGUGAUGAAUUUAUUUCAGGGUCAUCGAAGGUGGGACCUCUCAAUCCACUGCAUGUCCAUAAGAACAGGGAGUCGGCCGGGCCAGACCCCAUCAUAGACUCACAGCUUGCUGAUAUCCUUCAGUAUCAAAAACAAUCCUUCAGCUGGGCGAUCGCCAGAGAAGAGAUCAGUCCGAAUGAGCAUGAAGAAAGCAACCAGAAACCCAGAGAGGUAAGGAAAUCAAUCAGGAGAAGGCAAAGGGAAAUGAAAAAAUGCCCUGUGAAACUACCAGAGAGGCAACAAAGUAACUGUGAAGUGGAGGCUAUUCCCUGCAGUGUGGAACGGAUCGAGACCCAGUUUCUACGACUACCAGCAAACCGGGACUGGCAGCCCCCCGGCGCGGUGGUGCCGACGGGCCCCGAGGAGGAGGAGGAGGAGGAGCUCCAGAGCACAGCACCCAUCCCGAGGUACAAGGCUGCGGGGGACAGCAUCAAGUGUGACAGGCAGAGUCG